Molecule: long non-coding RNA, 904 nt
Filed under: Homo sapiens (human)
Lineage: Eukaryota; Metazoa; Chordata; Mammalia; Primates; Hominidae
Description: novel transcript
Source: RNAcentral
AGGCAGAGGGGGAUUUGCCAGGGUAAAGAGGAGGCUGGGAGGAAGAGGCCUGCCGAGGGAGGCUUUGUCUUUUCAGCCAGAGUUUGACAAUUAGGCUUCAUCAUGUCACGAUGCGGUGCUACUGCUGACCCCAAAACACAACGCCGGAAGUGGUGCUCACUAGAGACUGUGAGUGGCAUUGUGCACCUGCCAUCUUGCUGAGGCCUCCCAGGGGAGCUCAGAGGACACCUGGCCUCCUUCAAUCCAGGACUCACUGUUGAAGUGGAGCCGGGGCCCUCGCAGGAAAGAAUGAGCUGUGGGAGGGCCACUGGUCCACCACAGGGAGUCUGUGCUGUCCAGUGCCCACUGGAUGGCAGGAAGGGUAGGGCCUUAGAUGUGUCAGAACUGUGACGCUGAAUCCGGAGCCCCAACCUCUCCUAGCCUCCUAGAGGAGGAUGACCCAGGACCCUUGUCCUCCCAACAGCAGGCCACCAGUUCAAGGGACAAGAAGCCCCUAAGCUCCCUCCACCUUUCACAUAGGGCCCAGGUGGCCUUGGAGUACCUGCCUUUCUUCUGCACCUAUGGGUGCCUCCUGGAAGAGGAGGGGUUGGUCCUGCAGCCCAAGACACCGCUCCAGGAGGACUCAGAACUGCUCAGUGGGUUCUUCCCUUACUACCGCUCUGAGGAGGAGAGUUUGCCCAGCCUGGCCCUUCCUGGCUGGUCACACAGGGGCUCCCAAGAUCUGCCCACUGAGAAGGAGGCACGGGCUGGCUGCUUCUGCAGGACAACAGUCAGGGACGAAUGCUCUCCUGACCCAAGCUCAGACAGAGGAAGCAGGAGCCACCUGAACAACUGAAGGGUGCAGACACCCAGAAGCUGGUUUUGUAAAUAAAUCGUGCACCUUGGCGCUGGUGCACUAAUUGGA